GACCCCUUGGCUGAUUUAAGCACCUGUUUUGAAAGCAGGGUAAGGUUGGUUACUCAACCAGGGGUCU
This 67-nucleotide transfer RNA is filed under the name Artemia franciscana. RNAcentral describes it as "tRNA-Ser". Lineage: Eukaryota; Metazoa; Arthropoda; Branchiopoda; Anostraca; Artemiidae. The record is from RNAcentral.